Molecule: transfer RNA, 71 nt
Filed under: Hypotaenidia okinawae
Lineage: Eukaryota; Metazoa; Chordata; Aves; Gruiformes; Rallidae
Description: tRNA-Arg
Source: RNAcentral
AAAGAGAGUUAGUCUAACCAAGACAGCUGAUUUCGACUCAACAAAUCAUAGUCUAAACCUAUGACUCUCUU